UACGUAGGGACCGAGCGUUGUUCGGAUUUACUGGGCGUAAAGGGCGCGUAGGCGGCGUGUCAAGUCAAUUGUGAAAUCUCUGAGCUUAACUCAGAACUGCCAAUUGAUACUGAUGUGCUAGAGUGCAGAAGGGGCAAUCGGAAUUCUUGGUGUAGCGGUGAAAUGCGUAGAUAUCAAGAGGAACACCUGAGGUGAAGACGGGUUGCUGGGCUGACACUGACGCUGAGGCGCGAAAGCUAGGGUAGCAAACGGG
RNAcentral lists this ribosomal RNA (253 nucleotides) under uncultured bacterium. RNAcentral's name for it is "partial 16S ribosomal RNA". It matches the Rfam family "Bacterial small subunit ribosomal RNA", at positions 524 to 776 of the family's 1533-position model. The record is from RNAcentral.